This 663-nucleotide ribosomal RNA is filed under the name Herbaspirillum huttiense. RNAcentral's name for it is "bacterial SSU rRNA". It matches the Rfam family "Bacterial small subunit ribosomal RNA", at positions 64 to 720 of the family's 1533-position model. Lineage: Bacteria; Pseudomonadati; Pseudomonadota; Betaproteobacteria; Burkholderiales; Oxalobacteraceae. The record is from RNAcentral.
CGACGGCAGCAUAGGAGCUUGCUCCUGAUGGCGAGUGGCGAACGGGUGAGUAAUAUAUCGGAACGUGCCCUAGAGUGGGGGAUAACUAGUCGAAAGACUAGCUAAUACCGCAUACGAUCUACGGAUGAAAGUGGGGGAUCGCAAGACCUCAUGCUCCUGGAGCGGCCGAUAUCUGAUUAGCUAGUUGGUGGGGUAAAAGCCUACCAAGGCAACGAUCAGUAGCUGGUCUGAGAGGACGACCAGCCACACUGGGACUGAGACACGGCCCAGACUCCUACGGGAGGCAGCAGUGGGGAAUUUUGGACAAUGGGGGCAACCCUGAUCCAGCAAUGCCGCGUGAGUGAAGAAGGCCUUCGGGUUGUAAAGCUCUUUUGUCAGGGAAGAAACGGUAGUAGCGAAUAACUAUUACUAAUGACGGUACCUGAAGAAUAAGCACCGGCUAACUACGUGCCAGCAGCCGCGGUAAUACGUAGGGUGCAAGCGUUAAUCGGAAUUACUGGGCGUAAAGCGUGCGCAGGCGGUUGUGUAAGUCAGAUGUGAAAUCCCCGGGCUCAACCUGGGAAUUGCAUUUGAGACUGCACGGCUAGAGUGUGUCAGAGGGGGGUAGAAUUCCACGUGUAGCAGUGAAAUGCGUAGAUAUGUGGAGGAAUACCGAUGGCGAAG